GCUAUUCACUGGUUACCCACAACAAGCUUGUUUUUUGCACCUCUCCAGAUUUUCUGAAGGAAGAGAAACUACUACAUUUUAAAACAAGCCAGAAUAUUUACCACUGAUCAUUUGUAUUAACUACUCGUCCUUCAAACUUCAGAUUCCUGAGCUCAAUUGGGAUUGAAGGUAUGGUGGAAAGGGAGGAGAUUUGGACGGUAAAGGAAGAGGAUGAAAACAAUUUCUCAGAGUUAUGGUGAGCUAGGCACAGGCGUGGUGCUCUACACAAGGUGUGCAAAGGCUGGGAGAGCAGCUCACCCUGCCCAAGCCUCCUUAGCAGCAAUAUCCAUCCCCAGCUGGCCUCUCAGCACGCGGGCUCAGGAGCUCAGCUCUUCCUGGAUGUUGGUUACACCGAGGAAAUUCCUGGCCAAGCACCAUGGUCGCCAGCCAAGGUCUGUGCAGGAAUCUGUACUGCAGCAGAUACUCCUCCUAAUUGUUACCUAGGAAGGGAAGAGUGAGAGAUCAUCUUUGUUUUUUCGUAGAGACUGAAUGUAUCUGAAGAGUUGACAUUAUUGCCAUUGGAGUUAUUGGUUUUACAAGAAACUGUGAACAAACCUUAUUAAUUUUUAUAUUUUGCUUUCUAUAUUUUAUGAUGAAGUGAGCUGUAUUUGUUGGAAAAAACAUACUCAGUAAAUAUACAUAAGCUCUAAUAAUUACA
Motacilla alba alba is the source of this 697-nucleotide long non-coding RNA. RefSeq lists it as uncharacterized. The transcript is spliced from 2 exons. The record is from RefSeq and is a predicted model, not a curated record. NCBI's taxonomy places the organism in Eukaryota, Metazoa, Chordata, Aves, Passeriformes, Motacillidae.